Long non-coding RNA from Pristis pectinata (smalltooth sawfish), 1547 nucleotides. RefSeq lists it as uncharacterized. The record is from RefSeq and is a predicted model, not a curated record. The transcript has 3 exons. Lineage: Eukaryota; Metazoa; Chordata; Chondrichthyes; Rhinopristiformes; Pristidae.
CCCACUUCAUCCCGUCACCUCUUUAUACCAGCUAUUCCCUCUAUCUUUCAGUCCAGAUGAAGGGUCUUGACCUGAAAUGAUGACUGUCCAUUUCCCUCCAUGGGUGCUGCCUGACCCGCUGAGUUUCUCCGGCAUCUUGUUUUUUUGCUCCAGAUUCCAGCAUCUGCAGUCUCUUGUGUCUCUAACCCACCAACCCACACACCUCUUGGGUGUGGAAGGAAAUGGAGCACAUGGAGGAAACCCAUGCCUCACAAGGAGAACGUGCAAACUCUGCACAGACGGCACCCGAGGUCGGGAUAGAAACCUGGCGAAGUGACAGGAAACAGAAAGUAGUAGUGGAAAGCUGUGUCUCGGAUUGGAUGGAAGAAAUCAGUGGCGAUCUCCACGGCUGGGUAUCAGGACCACUGCUUGGACAGGGCACAGUCACAAGAUCUGCAGAUGACUCAAAACUUAGAAGCAGAGGAUGUGGGCAUCACUGGCAAGGCUAGCAUUUUUCACCCAUCCCUAAGUAGAAGGUGGCAGCGAGCAGCCUUCCUGAACCUCCGUCGUUCGUGUGGGCACUCCCAGAGGGCAGCUGUGGAGUUCCAGGAUUCAGACCCAGCAACAGUCAAGGAGAAGUGACAGCCAUUCAAGUCAGGAUGUGAGAGGUUCCCCUGUGCCUGCUGUGACGUCAGGGGUUUGGGAGGUGCUGUAGCACCAGCCAAUAUGUUGAGUGUUUCCAACUUAUCCCAGCACAUGGGGAGACAGACAGAUGCCGACAUUUCCAGCAACACCCAAACCCCUGCAGAGAAAUCUGUCCUGGCAACUAUGCUGAGGGAGUGCUGCACUGUCAGAAGGCCGAUUCCAGAUGUGGAGCUAAACUGAGGCCUCAGUAACCCUCUCCAUUUUGUGUGAUGUUGGGGAGUUCUCCCAGAGGUUGUGGGGCCAAUAUCACACUGCCGUUGACAAGAUCUCACUGUGCACAAAAUUAGCUGUCCUGUUCCCCACAUUACAAAACCUAGCAAAUUUGAAUAAGUAUUUCAGUGGCUGAAAGGGCCACAGAAAUGUGAAUCUUUCUGUUCCUCUCAGAUCCUUGUUCCUUACCAUUCAUUCUCCAGACGUGGCCAUCAGUGGCAAUGCCAGCAUUGUUUGAAUUGCUUCUGAGUGGGGAGGCAGCCACAACUGAACCACAUGGGUGGGUCUGGAGUCACAUAUAUUCCAGACUGGGCAGAUUUUCUUCUCUAAAGGAUGCGAGUGAACCAGAUGCGUUUGGGCAUUUUAAUGGUUACCAUUAAGAUUUUAUUUAGAUUGAUUUAAUUACUUGGUUAAAUUCCACAGCUGCUGCGGUGGGAUUUGAUCUCCUGCCUCUGGAUCAGUGGUCUAGAAGUCUGGUUGCUAGUCCAGUAACUUAACCCCUACACCACUAUUUGCUCCUCAGUAAUUGUCUGCAGCAGGCUAAUGGCACCCACCAACUCUGGCAGCAGGGAGGAGGAACAAGGCUGAUAUUCUCUCUGUAGCGCCCCAGUCUCCCCACCCACAGAGCUGCGUGACAGAUUUCCUAAACAACC